AGCUUUGGUGAGAUAAUUAUCGUUGUGCGUCAUUCCAACGACAUCCGGGAAGAAAUAACUCGGUCACCGUGCAAUUUUCCGGUGACCUAAGUGAUAAUUACGUCAAAGUCACUAAUUAUCAGUGUUGUGCAAAAACCAACACCCCCACAAGACUCGGAAUAGAAUUCCGACCAAACCCCAGAAAUUUCUCCGGCAGACUCCCCGUCA
This 207-nucleotide long non-coding RNA is filed under the name Nicotiana benthamiana. RNAcentral describes it as "long non-coding RNA (NBEN_LNC034462)". Lineage: Eukaryota; Viridiplantae; Streptophyta; Magnoliopsida; Solanales; Solanaceae. The record is from RNAcentral.